GCCUUGUUAGCUUGGUUGGUAGCGCGUCUGCCUUGUAAGCGCUACGCCGCGGGUUCGAUUCCCGCCCGGGGCG
RNAcentral lists this transfer RNA (73 nucleotides) under Diaphorina citri (Asian citrus psyllid). It matches the Rfam family "tRNA". Rfam says of the family: Transfer RNA (tRNA) molecules are approximately 80 nucleotides in length. Lineage: Eukaryota; Metazoa; Arthropoda; Insecta; Hemiptera; Psyllidae. The record is from Rfam by way of RNAcentral.